This 497-nucleotide ribosomal RNA is filed under the name uncultured bacterium. RNAcentral describes it as "partial 16S ribosomal RNA". It matches the Rfam family "Bacterial small subunit ribosomal RNA", at positions 28 to 507 of the family's 1533-position model. The record is from RNAcentral.
GAUGAACGCUGGCGGCGUGCCUAAUACAUGCAAGUCGAGCGAACAGACGAGGAGCUUGCUCCUCUGACGUUAGCGGCGGACGGGUGAGUAACACGUGGAUAACCUACCUAUAAGACUGGGAUAACUUCGGGAAACCGGAGCUAAUACCGGAUAAUAUAUUGAACCGCAUGGUUCAAUAGUGAAAGACGGUUUUGCUGUCACUUAUAGAUGGAUCCGCGCCGCAUUAGCUAGUUGGUAAGGUAACGGCUUACCAAGGCAACGAUGCGUAGCCGACCUGAGAGGGUGAUCGGCCACACUGGAACUGAGACACGGUCCAGACUCCUACGGGAGGCAGCAGUAGGGAAUCUUCCGCAAUGGGCGAAAGCCUGACGGAGCAACGCCGCGUGAGUGAUGAAGGUCUUCGGAUCGUAAAACUCCGUUAUUAGGGAAGAACAAAUGUGUAAGUAACUAUGCACGUCUUGACGGUACCUAAUCAGAAAGCCACGGCUAACCACGUG